This is a non-coding RNA of Styela clava, 1736 nucleotides long. The record is from RefSeq and is a predicted model, not a curated record. NCBI's taxonomy places the organism in Eukaryota, Metazoa, Chordata, Ascidiacea, Stolidobranchia, Styelidae.
CAGACGUUUUCUUAUGCUAUUUUGUGAUUCUACGUCUUGUGAUGUACAUUUAUGUAUUUUAUAAUUAACACUACCAGCCGAAUGUGCUUAAAUUAUUACUUCGAGUUUUUAAUUCCGCGUAGGACCCGUUUCUUCGUAAGAAAUAUUAUUAAAAUUUGUUUCAUUCCGCGUGAGAACCGGUUGAAAACUGCAGAAUAUUUUCCGCUGGAUUCACAAUGGUGUUAAAAAUUGCUAUGUAUGAUGCAAAAAAGUUUUUUUACACUACAAGAGGCAGGGUUCUCACUCACAGAACACUGGGGAUGGUUCAGAGCCUCUAAUUAUCUAUUAACAUUCAUAAUCAGCCAUCUUUCCACCUCCCAUUACAAGAAGAGCGUUCGCACAGUUGCAGGCUAACCCGUUAACCGCCGUCGCAUUGCGAGUUAGCCUCCACUCUUAUAACCUACUUUUUUCAUACAGCAGGUACCGUAAAUCAUUGUUUAUUGAUAGCCUAAUAGUGAUUCAUACAUGUUAACAUCGUAUUGGAAAGCUGAUGUUUUCAGAACUGAACACCCACAGCGAGACAAAGUGAUUUAGAGGGUUAAGAUUUCGACCUGGAGCCGCCACAGACUACGUAGAUCAUGUUGAGGUUUAUUCGAAAAAGGUUCGGACUUUUGCGUGUUUUUUUGUUCCCGCAGUAAUGUUCAAAGAGUUCGAUCCAAAGCCUCGAAUCUAGGGGACGAUGUUGAAGUUUAUUCGAAAAGAGUCUGAUCCAAAGCCUCGGAUCACAAGGACAAUGUUGAAGUUUAUUCAAAAAGAGUUCGAUCCAAAGCCUCGGAUCACAAGGACAAUGUUGAAGUUUAUUCGAAAAGGAGGAAACAGAAACUAUACCAGAAAAGUGAAAGAAUAUUAAGUUCAGUGUUUACAUUUAUAUUUUUUGAUUUUUUCAAUCCUCUGCACAAAGUUUCCCCCCAAAGUUUUCCUUUUCCCCACAUUUGAUACAGCUAACCCAUGUAGGGUAAUCAACUGUGAUCCUAGCGAUUUGCACAGGGCCGCAGCCAGGGUGUUCUGGGGAUCGGGACCCCCUUUUUAAAAUGUGAAAAAGAAAACAUUUCUUUGUAUCAUACAUGACAAUUUUUCAAAGCUUGAAACACUCCCUAGACCAGGGGCAGGCAAAUUAUGGCCCACGGGCCGAAUCCGGCCCACUUAUGUCUGCCGAAAUUACGAUUAUAGUUUGAUGGAUAAUGAAAUUCUGUUGAAAAGAUUGAUUAAAAUAAUGUCAUAAUGACCCUGAUUGUUACUUUGUGCUUCUUAUUAUUAUAUAAACGUUAGCCUACCUGUUGUAAAUGUUUUAUUCAUAGUUCCAAAUUAUUAUUUGUGACUGGCCCACUCAGUAAGUAAUUUCCCAACCCGGUUUACACCUUAAAGAAUCUUGGAAACCUAUGUUUUCAUGCUCCUGGCUGGCCCGUUAGUUUAACUUUGCAAUUGGAAAUUUCAGACCCCAUUCCCUUUGGGAACUCGUGACGCCCCUGAAUUACCUGGAUGCGGCACCAAUUGAUUGUUUUGGUUGUGGAAUUGUAAUUCAUCACGAAGGUUUAUUGCUGUGAUUUUUCAUUCCAUGGGUGUAUUCACAUUCAAUUUUUGGUACUCCCGAAGUAUGUGAACCAGGAUGGCACACCGGAACGUAGUAUGGAUUCCAAGUUAGGCCACAAUUUUACUCCAAUUUUCCUUAUUUUAGUUUUAUUACGAGUUUGGGUACU